UUUUCUUUAGGGAUUCAAAGAUGGGAUGUCUCGAAUUUGAAUCUAGCUUGUGCUAGAACAGUCGCGGCUAAGGAUAAGGAGAUUUUUCUAGGGGAACUAGCAUCUCUUACCUCGCCAGCGCAAAAAAGAAUGCAGAGGUGAUAGUUGAUGCAUCUGUUGUGCGAAGUGGAAGAAAUCUGAGUGUGAUAGCACUAGAGUUCAAGCUCAAGAAAACUGGG
Prunus avium (sweet cherry) is the source of this 218-nucleotide non-coding RNA. NCBI's taxonomy places the organism in Eukaryota, Viridiplantae, Streptophyta, Magnoliopsida, Rosales, Rosaceae. The record is from RefSeq and is a predicted model, not a curated record.